AGAGUUUGAUUAUGGCUCAGGACGAACGCUGGUGGCGGGCCUAACACAUGCAAGUCGAACGAGGCUUUCCGGUGCUUGCAUGGAAAAUCGAGUGGCGAACGGGUGAGUAAUACAUGAGAAACCUGCCUUGGAGACGGGGACAACCUCGGGAAACUGAGGCUAAUACCCGAUAUCCCUGCCGAGUCGCAUGACUUGGCAAGAAAAUACUCAGGUGCUCCAAGAAGGUCUCAUGCCCUAUCAGCUUGUUGGUGAGGUAAAAGCUCACCAAGGCUUAGACGGGUAGCUGGUCUGAGAGGACGAUCAGCCACACUGGGACUGAGACACGGCCCAGACUCCUACGGGAGGCAGCAGUGGGGAAUCUUGCGCAAUGGGCGAAAGCCUGACGCAGCCACGCCACGUGUGGGACGACGGCCCUCGGGUUGUAAACCACUUUCAGCAGGGACGAAAAUGACGGUACCUGCAGAAGAAGCCCCGGCCAACUACGUGCCAGCAGCCGCGGUAACACGUAGGGGGCGAGCGUUGUCCGGAAUUACUGGGCGUAAAGGGCUCGUAGGCGGUUUGGUAAGUCAGAUGUGAAAACUCCAGGCUCAACUUGGAGACGCCAUCUGAUACUGCCAUGACUAGAGUUUGGUAGAGGAGUGCAGAAUUCCCGGUGUAGCGGUGAAAUGCGCAGAUAUCGGGAGGAAUACCAGUCAGCGAAGGCGGCACUCUGGGCCACAACUGACGCUGAGGAGCGAAAGCGUGGGGAGCGAACAGGAUUAGAUACCCUGGUAGUCCACGCCGUAAACGGUGGGCACUAGGUGUGGGACCCUGUCAACGGGUUCCGUACACGUA
Molecule: ribosomal RNA, 834 nt
Filed under: uncultured Actinomycetes bacterium
Lineage: Bacteria; Bacillati; Actinomycetota; Actinomycetes
Description: bacterial SSU rRNA
Rfam family: Bacterial small subunit ribosomal RNA
Source: RNAcentral